RNAcentral lists this transfer RNA (75 nucleotides) under Caudoviricetes sp. RNAcentral describes it as "tRNA-Arg". It matches the Rfam family "tRNA". Rfam says of the family: Transfer RNA (tRNA) molecules are approximately 80 nucleotides in length. Their secondary structure includes four short double-helical elements and three loops (D, anti-codon, and T loops). Lineage: Duplodnaviria; Heunggongvirae; Uroviricota; Caudoviricetes. The record is from RNAcentral.
GCCCCCGUCGCCCAACGGACAGGGCAGCGGCCUCCUAAGCCGCGCGUGCUGGUUCGAUUCCAGCCGGGGGCACCA